CGCGUAGGCGGGGAUUUAAGUAAGGUGUGAAAACUCCGGGCUCAACCUGGAGACUGCACUUUUAAACUGGAUCUCUUGAGGGCAGGAGAGGAAAGUGGAAUUCCUAGUGUAGCGGUGAAAUGCGUAGAUAUUAGGAGGAACACCAGUGGCGAAGGCGACUUUCUGGACUGUACCUGACGCUGAGGCGCGAAAGCGUGGGGAGCGAACA
Molecule: ribosomal RNA, 208 nt
Filed under: uncultured bacterium
Lineage: Bacteria
Description: partial 16S ribosomal RNA
Rfam family: Bacterial small subunit ribosomal RNA
Source: RNAcentral